Molecule: unclassified non-coding RNA, 299 nt
Organism: Callithrix jacchus (white-tufted-ear marmoset)
Lineage: Eukaryota; Metazoa; Chordata; Mammalia; Primates; Cebidae
Rfam family: Metazoan signal recognition particle RNA
About the family: The signal recognition particle (SRP) is a universally conserved ribonucleoprotein. It is involved in the co-translational targeting of proteins to membranes.
Source: Ensembl
GCUGGUACAGUGGUGCAUGCCUAUAGUCCCAGCUACUCAGGAGGCUGAGGUGGAAGAACUGCUCGAGCCCAGGAGUUCUGGGCUGUAGUGCACUAUGCCAAUCAGGUGUCCGCACUAAGUUCGGCAUCAAUAUGGUGACCUCCUGGGAGCCAGGGUCCACCAGGUUGCCUAAGGAGGGGUGAACUGGCCCAGGUCAGAAACAGAGCAGGUGGAAACUCCUGUGCUGAUCAGUAGUGGGAUCGCGCCUGUGAAUAGCCACUGCACUCCAGCCUGGGCAACACAGCAAGACCCUGUCUCAA